RNAcentral lists this ribosomal RNA (602 nucleotides) under uncultured bacterium. Its description in RNAcentral is "bacterial SSU rRNA". It matches the Rfam family "Bacterial small subunit ribosomal RNA", at positions 917 to 1519 of the family's 1533-position model. The record is from RNAcentral.
GGGCCCGCACAAGCAGCGGAGCAUGUGGUUUAAUUCGAAGCAACGCGAAGAACCUUACCAGGUCUUGACAUCGAGGCAAAGCCGUAGAGAUACGGUGUUCAGCAAUGAAGCCGAAGACAGGUGGUGCAUGGUUGUCGUCAGCUCGUGUCGUGAGAUGUUGGGUUAAGUCCCGCAACGAGCGCAACCCUUAUUGUCAGUUACUAACGGGUAAAGCCGAGGACUCUGACGAGACUGCCGGGGACAACUCGGAGGAAGGUGGGGACGACGUCAAAUCAUCAUGCCCCUUAUGACCUGGGCUACACACGUGCUACAAUGGUGGUAACAAAGAGACGCGAGCUCGUAAGGGGGAGCGAAUCUCAUAAAAGCCAUCUCAGUUCGGAUUGUGGGCUGCAACCCGCCCACAUGAAGUUGGAGUUGCUAGUAAUCGCGGAUCAGCAUGCCGCGGUGAAUACGUUCCCGGGCCUUGUACACACCGCCCGUCACACCAUGGGAGUCGGGAGCACCCGAAGUCGGCGAGGUAACCGCAAGGAGCCAGCCGCCGAAGGUGAGAUCGAUGACUGGGGUGAAGUCGUAACAAGGUAGCCGUAUCGGAAGGUGCGGCU